GAUGAAGAACGCAGCGAAAUGCGAUAAGUAGUGUGAAUUGCAGAAUUCAGUGAAUCAUCGAAUCUUUGAACGCACAUUGCGCCCCUUGGUAUCCCGAGGGGCAUGCCUGUUCGAGCGUCAUUUCACCACUCAAGCCUGGCUUGGUGUUGGGCGACGUCCCCUUUGGGGACGCGCCUCGAAACGCUCGGCGGCGUGGCACCGGCUUUAAGCGUAGCGGAAUCUUUCGCUUUGGAAGUCGGGGCCCCGUCUGCCGGAAGACCUACUCGCAAGGUUGACCUCGGAUCAGGCAGGGAUACCCGCUGAACUUAAGCAUAUCAAUAAGCGGAGGA
This 329-nucleotide unclassified non-coding RNA is filed under the name soil metagenome. RNAcentral's name for it is "partial contains 5.8S ribosomal RNA, internal transcribed spacer 2, and large subunit ribosomal RNA". The stretch from base 1 to 120 matches the Rfam family "5.8S ribosomal RNA", at positions 35 to 154 of the family's 154-position model. The record is from RNAcentral.